CCGACCUUAGCUCAGUUGGUAAAGCGGAGGACUGUAGAUCCUUAGGUCGCUGGUUCGAAUCCGGCAGGUCGGA
This 73-nucleotide transfer RNA is filed under the name Populus tomentosa. RNAcentral's name for it is "tRNA-Tyr". It matches the Rfam family "tRNA". From Rfam's summary of the family: Transfer RNA (tRNA) molecules are approximately 80 nucleotides in length. Their secondary structure includes four short double-helical elements and three loops (D, anti-codon, and T loops). Further hydrogen bonds mediate the characteristic L-shaped molecular structure. tRNAs have two regions of fundamental functional importance: the anti-codon, which is responsible for specific mRNA codon recognition, and the 3' end, to which the tRNAs corresponding amino acid is attached (by aminoacyl-tRNA synthetases). tRNAs cope with the degeneracy of the genetic code in two manners: having more than one tRNA (with a specific anti-codon) for a particular amino acid; and 'wobble' base-pairing, i.e. permitting non-standard base-pairing at the 3rd anti-codon position. The record is from RNAcentral. Lineage: Eukaryota; Viridiplantae; Streptophyta; Magnoliopsida; Malpighiales; Salicaceae.